Molecule: ribosomal RNA, 253 nt
Filed under: uncultured bacterium
Lineage: Bacteria
Description: partial 16S ribosomal RNA
Rfam family: Bacterial small subunit ribosomal RNA
Source: RNAcentral
UACGUAGGUGGCAAGCGUUGUCCGGAUUUAUUGGGUUUAAAGGGUGCGUAGGCGGCCCUGUAAGUCAGUGGUGAAAUCUCUCAGCUUAACUGAGAGGGUGCCAUUGAUACUGCAGGGCUUGAGUACAGAUGAGGUAGGCGGAAUUGACGGUGUAGCGGUGAAAUGCAUAGAUAUCGUCAAGAACACCGAUAGCGAAGGCAGCUUACCAAGCUGUAACUGACACUGAGGCACGAAAGUGUGGGGAUCAAACAGG